UGCUGCUGUUUCUCAGACUGCCGACUACGAUGCCAGCGCCACAUAGUAUCUCAACUCGAAAGGGAAACGAAUGGGAAUAUAUGGGAUUCUAUCGAAACAAAGAAAUGCAGCGAGAGAAGACCUCGAGAAUUCCAAUGCGAGUUUUGAAAGAGAAAAUAAAGAAAUGGAAGAGAAUAAAAGAGGAGAUUGAACAACGAAAAAGGAAAAAGAAAAAGGAAAAUGAAAAACAUAGGAGCAGUAAGCAUAGCAUGCAAUGUGCAUCGUGACUGCAUCCCGAAGGCUGGAUCGGUCUCGCGACCGGCUCUCUGACCUUGUCUGGGUGUUCACCUCAACGUUCCUCUUUCCCUCUUAUUCUCCCUCUCUUUCUUAACCCAGCAGACGAGUUCGGUGCGUCUUUUAUUCAACGUAUAUUCGUUGUUCUAUAUACGUAUGUGCAUCGUAUACAGGGUGGCCCAUUUAAAUGAGGG
Molecule: long non-coding RNA, 467 nt
Organism: Polistes canadensis
Lineage: Eukaryota; Metazoa; Arthropoda; Insecta; Hymenoptera; Vespidae
Exons: 3
Source: RefSeq, a predicted model, not a curated record